Molecule: ribosomal RNA, 446 nt
Filed under: uncultured bacterium
Lineage: Bacteria
Description: partial 16S ribosomal RNA
Rfam family: Bacterial small subunit ribosomal RNA
Source: RNAcentral
CCAGACUCCUACGGGAGGCAGCAGUAGGGAAUAUUGCUCAAUGGGGGAAACCCUGAAGCAGCAACGCCGCGUGGAGGAUGAAGGUUUUAGGAUUGUAAACUCCUUUUGUUAGAGAAGAUUAUGACGGUAUCUAACGAAUAAGCACCGGCUAACUCCGUGCCAGCAGCCGCGGUAAUACGGAGGGUGCAAGCGUUACUCGGAAUCACUGGGCGUAAAGAGUGCGUAGGCGGGGUAAUAAGUCAGAUGUGAAAUCCUGUAGCUUAACUACAGAACUGCAUUUGAAACUGUUACUCUGGAGUGUGGGAGAGGUAGGUGGAAUUCUUGGUGUAGGGGUAAAAUGCGUAGAUAUCAGGAGGAACACCGGUGGCGAAGGCGGCCUGCUGGACUGCAACUGACGUUGAGGCCCGAAAGCGUGGGGAGCAAACAGGAUUAGAUACCCGUGUAAC